This 427-nucleotide ribosomal RNA is filed under the name uncultured bacterium. RNAcentral describes it as "partial 16S ribosomal RNA". It matches the Rfam family "Bacterial small subunit ribosomal RNA", at positions 355 to 774 of the family's 1533-position model. The record is from RNAcentral.
UGGGGAAUAUUGGACAAUGGGCGAAAGCCUGAUCCAGCCAUGCCGCGUGUGUGAAGAAGGUCUUCGGAUUGUAAAGCACUUUAAGUUGGGAGGAAGGGCAUUAACCUAAUACGUUAGUGUUUUGACGUUACCGACAGAAUAAGCACCGGCUAACUCUGUGCCAGCAGCCGCGGUAAUACAGAGGGGGCAAGCGUUAAUCGGAAUUACUGGGCGUAAAGCGCGCGUAGGUGGUUUGUUAAGUUGGAUGUGAAAUCCCCGGGCUCAACCUGGGAACUGCAUUCAAAACUGACUGACUAGAGUAUGGUAGAGGGUGGUUGAAUUUCCUGUGUAGCGGUGAAAUGCGUAGAUAUAGGAAGGAACACCAGUGGCGAAGGCGACCCCCUGGACUAAUACUGACACUGAGGUGCGAUAGCGUGGGGAGCAAACA